RNAcentral lists this ribosomal RNA (426 nucleotides) under uncultured bacterium. RNAcentral describes it as "partial 16S ribosomal RNA". It matches the Rfam family "Bacterial small subunit ribosomal RNA", at positions 354 to 796 of the family's 1533-position model. The record is from RNAcentral.
GUGAGGAAUUUUCCGCAAUGGGCGAAAGCCUGACGGAGCAAUGCCGCGUGAAGGAUGAAGGCCUAUGGGUUGUAAACUUCUUUUCUCAGAAAAGAAUUAUGACGGUAUCUGAGGAAUAAGCAUCGGCUAACUAUGUGCCAGCAGCCGCGGUAAGACAGAGGAUGCAAGCGUUAUCCGGAAUGAUUGGGCGUAAAGCGUCUGUAGGUUGUUUAAAAAGUAUUCUGUCAAAGAUUAGGGCUUAACCCUAGAUAGGCAGAAUAAACUUUUAAGCUAGAGUUUGGUAGAGGCAGAGGGAAUUCCCGGUGGAGCGGUGAAAUGCGUAGAUAUCGGGAGGAACACCAAAGGCGAAGGCACUCUGCUGGGCCAAUACUAACACUGAGAGACGAAAGCGAGGGGAGCAAAUGGGAUUAGAUACCCGUGUAGUCC